CAGCAGGUAAUGGUCAUCUUUUGCCAUCAUUCACGCAAAUAAUAUGAAGUAACAAGGAUGAGCAAUUAUCUCUAUGGAUGGCCAAGAUCAAUGAAACAAACAGCAGCAGAUGCUCCGGAGGCUAUGGAAAAAAGAGACAUUUGAGACUCCUCAUGAUGAGCAACAAGAACCUCCCAGUCUACAGAACAUGGCAACCAACUGAGCUGCCUCCCAACUCUGCAACUUCUUCUCAACCAAAUUUAGUUCUCAAAAUCAGCAAGUCUGAGUAACUCACCCUUGUUUGUUCUGUUACAGUAACUUUAAUCUGA
Mesocricetus auratus (golden hamster) is the source of this 308-nucleotide long non-coding RNA. RefSeq lists it as uncharacterized. The record is from RefSeq and is a predicted model, not a curated record. The transcript has 3 exons. Lineage: Eukaryota; Metazoa; Chordata; Mammalia; Rodentia; Cricetidae.